UCUGGACUCUUGAACCCUUCCUUUGUAGUUUAUUUCCACCUUCAUCGUCAUCUUCAUUGCUUCGACCUCAGCCGUAGGAUUAGGUUUCUCGCUCCUCUCUUCCAGGAACUUCUCGACGUUACAAACGCCAUUUUCAUCGUUCAUCUCCACCUUCAUCGUCAUCUUCGUUGCUUCGACCUUAGCCGUAGAAUUAGGUUUCUCGCUCCUCUCUUCCAGGAACUUCUCGAUGUUAUAGACGCCAUCGCAAAUGACACCGUUUCGGCGCUCUUCUCUGUCUGAGAUUGUGGCGCCGGCCAAGGGGUGCCACGACCCGAAUCCGUGGAUCCGUCAAUUCUCGCAAAGGGGGCCAUCAAUUUCGAGGGAAUGGGGUUGAGUUAACCUCGAGUCUUGGGUCUGCUGUGCUUCCUUGGUCGAUUGAGCUUCUAAUGAUGUUUCGUUAACAAGUUUAGGUCAAUGCGGCUCUCAUGGGGUUUCUAACCGAUGCAUGAGUUACACUGUCACAAAAUGGUUACAUUUUUUCAAAAUAUCAGAAAAUUCAAUGAUGCACAUACAUAUUUUCUUGGAAAAUUGUAAUGCACAUACAUAUUAGGAUUGCAUGUUCUGCUAACACAGAUUUAUGGUGAAGAUGAAUGGUCAUUUGGUUCUGGGAGCAAGGUACUGGAGUUUUUAGUUGCCCUUCUGGAAAAAAUCCAACGUAUACUCUCUAUUUAGAUUUCAAUUAUUUUGUCACUUUUAUGCCAAACAAUUUUUCCUAGCUUCAUGUUCUAGCAUUUGUUAUUAAUUAAUAUAGUUUGAUGUAAGUAUAUAGUUGAGCCUUAGUUGUAUUUUACUUAUUACACUCUCUGUGCUUUUCCUUCUUUUGUCAUUGUCCUUUCUCUUUUUUAAUCUGUUACUUGGCCAGACAAUGACUCAAUCGGAACAAUAAAAGAUAGAAAGAAAGAAUACUUUUAAGAAGAAAGGUAAGUUGGAUUUUUACACGAGGUAAGUGUCAUCUGUCAUGUUAAAAUUAGAAGUGUUAUGUUGACGGAUAUAGAGGAGGUAGAUGUAAUUUCCUCUAACAUUUAUGAAUGACUAAUAUUCCCAUUCUAUUUACUUCUAUUGUAAGUCAUCUAUUUUUCUCCUUCUGCACUCUUUCUGUUUUAUGUUUUCUAUUUUGGUUCCUUCUUUCUCCUUUCAUUAUGCUUCUGGUUCUUGGUGUUCUUUGGCUAGUAUAAGAAGGCUUUCAAAGAGAAAAGGAAUGAAUUCUCUCCAUUUUUGUUCCUUAAUUCUUUUUGUUUCUUCAGGAUGAGUUUUUGGAUCCGGUAGUGAAAGAAAAUCUCAAUGUUCUUCAAUUGUGUGAAAUUGCAGUCGGUAAAGCAUGUUAUUUUAACUUCCUCAAUUGCUGCUGUUAUAUUUAAUGGAAGGCUUCUGACUCCUAAAGCAGUAGUUGAUGACACCUGGUUUUUCGAUCACGAACUUUGUAAGGAGUCGAAGUCAUGGUACUGGUAUGUGCUUUCAAAGACAUUGGCUGAAGAUGCUGCUUGAAAAUUUGCCAAAAAAAAAUUAACCCAGCAAUGGUGAUUGGACCUCUUCUGCAACCAGUACUUAACACAAGUGCUGCUGGUGUUUUGAAUGUAACUAAUGGAGAAGAAGCCUUAUUCCGAUAAAGUUGCUAAGCUUAAAACAAAAUAUGAGAAGGCUAUGGAAAGUUAUAAUGCUGCUGAAGCAGGAGGAGAAAAGGGAGAAGGAGAAGGAGAGCAUGAAGAGGGUUGAUGAAAAAUAUGAUCACGAAGAAGCUGCGACCAGUAAAGACGAGGAGUUCACGAUGCACUUUACUCGGGGGUUUUAUCAUUUAGAUGUUAGUACUAUUCAAAUGCCUUUGCGCUGCAAAAUCUUUGUGUUGGCCUCUUGGAAUAUUCUUCAAAGGCACUUGGUUUAUACUUAUUUCAUUGUUUUCCACUUCUCCCCA
Long non-coding RNA from Arachis duranensis, 1948 nucleotides. RefSeq lists it as uncharacterized. The transcript has 4 exons. Lineage: Eukaryota; Viridiplantae; Streptophyta; Magnoliopsida; Fabales; Fabaceae. The record is from RefSeq and is a predicted model, not a curated record.